CAAGCCAUCUGAACAGUGCAAUUACUAUUGUUUUGCUAGGAUAUGGUAAAUCCCCGGGGACAAAAUUGCAGGUUUCCCUUUAGAAAGUGAAUGCAUGACGCUCUUAACUUCAUGUGCAAAGCCUAUCUUGCUCACGUAAUAUGUACACGAGAUGAAACUUAAAAGGUCAAUGGUAUUUUGGAGUUGUAAUCUAGCGUGUGAGGAGUUAAUAACUCUUAUUAUUUUGCUUUAAUUGUACGUAAAUGGUGUAUAACUUAUACAAGGUCUAUCAUGUUUCUUACAGAAAUUACUAAAAUUUUGUUGCAGGAUAUUAACGAUGAUUAUCACUAGGCUAGCCAAAGAGACAAUGAAUCUACAGUAUCAGUUGAAUUGCAAACUGCCCCUCUAAGAGAUGGUGUCCUUCCAAGAGUUCUAUGCCAAGUAAUUAUUGAAUGCAUUCCUUUUCCGGCUGGUGGAACUUCACAUAUUUAGAUUUUGAACUUCUCUUUACUGUUUGGAACUUGUCUCUGCAUUUUGCAGCAACUUAUCUGUAGAAUGUAAUAAAUGCUGGUCAACUUUGAAAGGGUUGUUAUUAUUAUAUCGACUUGGUUUUGCCCAAUGCUCGAUAUGGUUGGCACAAAUUUAUUCUAGAGGGCUCUCUGUUGCCCUUAUUCUAUCUGUUUUGAACAUAUUACGUACUAUACUGUAAAGAAUUUCCUAGUGGCAGGGAGUUUGAUUCAGAUCUUGGAUAGAGAUCUCUUUUUAUAAUAUAGGAGGCAAGUUAGUAAUAACAACUCAUUGGUUAGUAGUUUGUUUACUAGUCCAUCUUGCAUUUGAGAAUUUCUAUCUGCAAGUCAUCC
This 839-nucleotide long non-coding RNA is filed under the name Nicotiana benthamiana. RNAcentral's name for it is "long non-coding RNA (NBEN_LNC010808)". The record is from RNAcentral. Lineage: Eukaryota; Viridiplantae; Streptophyta; Magnoliopsida; Solanales; Solanaceae.